This 435-nucleotide ribosomal RNA is filed under the name uncultured bacterium. RNAcentral's name for it is "partial 16S ribosomal RNA". It matches the Rfam family "Bacterial small subunit ribosomal RNA", at positions 29 to 507 of the family's 1533-position model. The record is from RNAcentral.
AACGAACGCUGGCGGCAUGCCUAACACAUGCAAGUCGAACGAUUUCCUUCUGGUGAUGUUGGCUCACCGGUUCGUAACGCGUUGGAAUCUGCCCUAAUAUUCGGCAUAACAGCUUGAAAUGACUUCUAAUACCUGAGGAUAUCACGAGAUCAAAGAUUUAUCUGCUUAGGAUGAGCCCGCGUUUUGUUAGGUAUUUGGUGGGGUAAAGGCCUACCAAGCAUAGGAUUCAUAUCUGGUCUGAGAGGAUGAUCAGCCACUCUGGGAAUGCGACACAGACCAGAAUGCGACGGGAGGCAGGAGUAGGGAGUAUUGGAGAAUGGGGGCAGGCCUGACAACGCCACGUGGGGUGAGUGAUGAAGCGCCUAGGGUUGUAAAGCUCUUUGAGACGAGAAGAUAAUGACUGUAAUGGGAGAAUAAGCACCGGCUAACUACGUG